This 313-nucleotide long non-coding RNA is filed under the name Bos taurus (domestic cattle). RNAcentral describes it as "long non-coding RNA NONBTAT011762". Lineage: Eukaryota; Metazoa; Chordata; Mammalia; Artiodactyla; Bovidae. The record is from RNAcentral.
UUAUUAUGUAAUACAUUUACAUCAGUUUUAUAUUUUUGUAGUACUCUUUAUAACCUUAAAUUUGGGGAAAGAAAAUAAAGCAUAAACACUUUGUUAAGGAAACAUCUUCAUUUUCAGGUUACUUAAUUUGUGAUUAGAUUGUAAAAGGACUAGCCGCUCUGCUUCUAAUGAGCCAUGGUAAAGAAUAUAGCAUAAGCAAAUGGCAUUUUUUUUUUGCUUUCCAGGAUUAUUUUUUUAGCUCUCUUCCUACUGAGUCACAGAAUUCUUAGACCCUUUUCUUUUUCUAAAAAUUUAAGUACAUUGUUUAAAGGAC